CGGAUCUGGGUUCGGAUCCGAAACCCAUUAAGCCCAAUAAAACAAAAUGGGUUUAGCCAAAUUUGACUAAACCCAAGCCCAAUUAGACUGGGCUAAGUCUGGACGAGCCCAAACUAUAAAUUGGGUCAAAUCCGAACCCAAUUAAGCUAGGUUAGUUCCAGCAAACCCAAUUGAAUAUGAAUCAGGCCCAAUUCAAGCCCAAUUCAACUAAUUUGAGAACAAAUUGGCCUCAGGCUGACCCUGACUCAAGCCCAAUCCUUUAAUUAAAAGCCCAAUUGACCUACGUAAACCCAAUUUUGUUCUAAAUCGAGCCCAAAGGCUUCAAAUUAGGUAAAUUGGACAUGAGAUCCAAGCAAGUAAAUUCAUGUUAUGAUAAAUUUAGAAAUUAUGAAUAAAUAGGGAAUAAUGUGGUCCCUAUGUUAUUAAUUUAGGUGAUCAAGGUUUGUCACCCAGACGUAAGAAAUUUGAAAGCGAAUUUCGGUAAGUGACCUGUCUUAAUCUUAUUGUAGAUCAUAUAUCACGUUUUAUAAGAUAAACAAGUACUAUUCAUGCAAUUUAAAUUGUAUAUAUGAUUUGUGAAAAAAGUAAAUAACAUUCUUAAUCUUAUUAUUUUAUGGAUCAUGUAUACGCUUGCUUACAUAAUUUAUAAAGUAUUAUUUAUGCGUUUGAAUUAUGCAUAAGAUUAGUUGUUUGAAAUACUAUUAAUGAGUUUUCACUCUACCUAUGAGUACUAUUUGCGAGAAGUACUACGUACGGGCUCUCAGAUGCUAUGGAUUGGCCCCACCGAUGGGUAAGAAUAAUUGAGCAUAUAGACCCCGCCAGUAGGGGAGAAUAACUGGCUAACGAUCUUUGCUGUGGGAGUUAAAUACAGCCAUAACUAUAAAUCUGAGAGUAUAGAUUUAUAAAACUUUGUUUAUAAAGUAUUAUUUAUACUUUCAAAUAAGGAUCAAGCAAAUAUGCAUGAUUUACCAAAGAUAG
This 978-nucleotide long non-coding RNA is filed under the name Phoenix dactylifera (date palm). RNAcentral describes it as "long non-coding RNA (PDAC_LNC016542)". The record is from RNAcentral. Lineage: Eukaryota; Viridiplantae; Streptophyta; Magnoliopsida; Arecales; Arecaceae.